AAGCCAGGUUGAGGGGGGAUACUGUCACAAUCUAUGUUAGCAGUUGGCUGGGUGGUUGUGUUUCUUUUUCUGUUUACAGAGGUGCGCUGGAGGCUGGGCGGAGUCGGCGGUCUCAGGAGGGAGUACACACACACGCGCGCACCUGCAGCAGGUUAAUCAUCAGCGCUGGCUUCAAGACCAGGAUCCACACACUGCCUGCUGCCAUUUGAUUACAUGAUUUCCACGCGUGCCCUCCUGCCCCGCAACCGACUCGCUCUGGUGUCCAGAUCUCCUGCACCUCUGCUUCUCAUCGCCAGCCCAGCUCCCCGCUUAAGGGGCACAGCCAACGCGGCACCACCACUCACCUACAGCUGCCACCAAACCUACACUCCUCCGAGCCGACAGAGACGCGCCGGACCUCUGCGCGCCUACAGCCUGCCUCCAGCGCUAUGCUCCUCUGAGCACUCUCCCCCUGGGACUCAAGCCACCUCGCCCUCUGCUACCCAGCUGUGGUUGUUGAUAAAAGCACCUUUGCAUCUGCCCCGGUUGUCUGUCCGUUUCUGGGUCACCCUUGUGUCUCUGGUCUAACAAGCUCCUCUCCCUGAUGACGUCCAUCAGUUUUGGGGUGUAAUGGUCAAGUUGGGCCAUAAAUGUAGAUUUGAGACUUACGGUGGUUAUUCUCUUGAAUUCUUCAUUUAUCUGUAGACCACAAAAACAGGAGCAUUGAAUCUUGCAGACAAGAUUAUGCAGCUAUACUGCAUUAAUUCAUAUGACAACACAUUAGUUAAAGAGGAACAACUCCUACAUUUUUGUGAACUCUGACAUACAGUGGUAAAAAAAGGGGGGGGGGGGGCACUGAAAUGACCCACUAUUGUUGAUUGGUAUUUCAUUCAAAUUGAAAUCACUCUCCAUAGAGGUCGCUUGGAACCAAAGACCAGUCAAAAGGUUGGCCAGUUGUAGGAACACAAGCCUUUGUCUCUGCAUCUUAAAGUGGUCUCAUUUCAGCCAUGAUUACCUUUAACCCAAAUCGACUCCUUUUUCCAGCAUACGGGACUGAAAACCCCCUCCUGAACUGGCAGAUCUUUUUCCACCACAGAGUGGCAAGAUGUUGUUUUUCUUGCAAUAAACAGAUCACAGAGACCUUCUUUUAGUAAUUUACAACGACUAAGCACAUCUGGUCUGUUCCCCUUCCUCCAAAGAAGAUGAACCCCUUUUCCUCAGGGCAAACAAGGUCAAGCCCAAUAGAGUCUUCUUUCUCCACACCAAAAGGAAGGAGGACUGUCUUCUAACAUAGAUGUGGUGAUUUAAGAUGUUUUACUAAUCUACGUUUCUCUCCCUCUGGAACAUUCUCCGGUGGGGGAAGGCUUAAUGGGAAACCUAAUCUGUGUGUUCUUCUCCUCACAUGUCCAACUGUUAUUUACGACCAUUGUUGUUCCUGGGUUUGACAUACCAAUCCCCCUUGCAGUCUAUCCUCACCCAAAUUCAAAUACGUCCUAAAUAACUAAUAAACUACAAUUCCAACUUCUUAAUUUUAGCAGAUUCCAAAAUAGCGUAAGAAGGUCAUACAAUAGAUCUUUCCCAUGUUAUUGUCAAGCCCAAAUGAAGUUUAUUACUCAAUAAGUUUGAGGUCAACAGAAACCACUCCUCCCCUUUGUCGAUGGAGGAGAGACUACUGUGUAUUGUAUACUUUACUGUUAUAUGUUGUAUACCUUAUUGCUUCAAAUCUUAAUCAGGUUAUAAUUCUUUCGAAUGACAAAUUAUCCUUAUCAUGUUGCAUCUCUUCACAAAGGCAAAAAUUCGACUUUUAAGAAGGUUUUGGGAAGGUUAAAACAUGAUUUCAAAACAUUAAAUCCAAUAAUAUAGUUAGAUUAACUUUUUGGGAGCGUCAACUAAGAUCACAGGAGGUGUGACACUGUCAGCCAGCCCCUUCUUCAGUCUGCCUGCUGCAGGUCAUAAAGCAGACCCUUCUGCUCUGCUCGCCCUCUCUCACUUCUUCUCUGGGUUCUCUCCCUGCUCUCUUCUCCCCCUGCUUCUUCUCCUUCUUCUCUCUUCUCUUCACUUCUUUGUUUUUCAUUUUUAUUUUUAUUUUUAAAGUAAUCUUUAUUUUUAUUUUUGCAACACGCUCUAAGACAAGCGAAUUGAAUCCCUACUUUAAGUAUUUUACUUUUAUUCAAGUUCUUAAUAGAACAAAUUCUUUUUUUUUUAUUUUAUACUGUUAAAGUAUCACCGCCUGAUUCAGAAGAAGUUGAAUUAGCUUCAGAAUCAGAACUUAAGUACCACUACUUGAAACCACCAAGAAAAGUCUUUUUCAAGACUGUGAUCAUCUGAUGAAGAACGUUGCAAGCCUUGCAAGGAGUCUCCAACAAAAAGAGACUUUGUGUGCUCCCAGCCAAGACCGACUCUGCCCCCAGCGCUCCCAAGGCGGAAACCCCACUGGGCCUUCGGACCAAGAGUUCCUCAACAGAGUACCGGCCUUCCCUCUGGCUACUGGACCGACGCGCCAUGCCGUAGUCCAACCCAGAACUCUCAAGAACACCAAACUUCAGUGCCUCCUGACUCCCAGAAAAAAACAGCUGAACGCCUUCAUGCUGCUGGAUCCACACACGUGAGAAUGAGUGGUGUCUAAAGUUCUGACUUCUGUCCAAAGUUCUGACUUCUGUCCAAAGUUCUGACUUCUGUCUAAGUUCUAACUUCUAUUUUAUGAACUUAAGAAAAUUAAGAUUAGGGUCUCGUAGUAUUAAAAAAUACUCCCGUAAUAUUUUUUUUGCUUAUGUUCAUUUUUUUGGCAUAGACACCUUUAUUAAGCAGUAGACAGAUAGGAAAUAUGGGAGAGAGAGGGGGAUGUGACAUGCAGCAAAGGACCUCCGGCCGGAAUCGAACCGGGGUCGGCUGCGUCUAUGGCAUGCACUCUAACCAUUCCACCACCUGCGCGCCCCUCCCGUAAUAUUUAAUAUAUAUAUAACCCGGCCCUUUAACUUUACCAUCUACCGAAGGUCACACAACGUUAUUACUUUCCUUAUUACAGUCUCUACCUUCUCUGUUAUCUGUUGUUCGUCUAAAAUUGUCAUGUCCUUUAUUUUACCCCAAAUUAUUUAGUCAAUAAACAUAUAUAAUCGUUUGUCU
Molecule: long non-coding RNA, 3102 nt
Organism: Sparus aurata (gilthead seabream)
Lineage: Eukaryota; Metazoa; Chordata; Actinopteri; Spariformes; Sparidae
Source: Ensembl